CCUACGGGAGACAGCAGUGGGGAAUAUUGGACAAUGGGGGGAACCCUGAUCCAGCGACGCCGCGUGAGUGAAGAAGGAUUUCGGUAUGUAAAGUCCUAUCAGUAGGGAAGAAAAUGACGGUACCUAAUGAAGAAGCACCGGCUAACUACGUGCCAGCAGCCGCGGUAAUACGGAGGGGGCAAGCGUUACCCGGAUUCACUGGGUGUAAAGAGAGCGUAGGCGGGAGAACAAGUCAGAUGUGAAAUGCUAGGGCUUAACCCUAGAACUGCAUUGGAAACUGUGCAUCUAGAGUACGGGAGAGGUAAGUGGAAUUCUUAGUGUAGCGGUAAAAUCCGUAGAGAUUAAGAGGAAUACGCGUGGCGAAGGCGGCCUACUGGAAUAUAACUGACGCUGAUGCUCGAAAGCGUGGGGAGCAAACAGGAUUAGAUACCCUAGUAGUC
Molecule: ribosomal RNA, 440 nt
Filed under: uncultured bacterium
Lineage: Bacteria
Description: partial 16S ribosomal RNA
Rfam family: Bacterial small subunit ribosomal RNA
Source: RNAcentral